This 253-nucleotide ribosomal RNA is filed under the name uncultured bacterium. RNAcentral describes it as "partial 16S ribosomal RNA". It matches the Rfam family "Bacterial small subunit ribosomal RNA", at positions 524 to 776 of the family's 1533-position model. The record is from RNAcentral.
UCCGUAGGGUGCAAGCGUUAUCCGGAAUUAUUGGGCGUAAAGAGCUCGUAGGCGGUUUGUCGCGUCUGCUGUGAAAACUGGAGGCUCAACCUCCAGCCUGCAGUGGGUACGGGCAGACUAGAGUGCGGUAGGGGAGAUUGGAAUUCCUGGUGUAGCGGUGGAAUGCGCAGAUAUCAGGAGGAACACCGAUGGCGAAGGCAGAUCUCUGGGCCGUAACUGACGCUGAGGAGCGAAAGCAUGGGGAGCGAACAGG